GUCCUGAUGUGUUUUGUCAACAGCUGUUCAAGACAAAAGGGGAACCGAAGAGCCACCCUGAACAGGAUGCGCUGCCUACCAAACGUCUCAGAGAGACUCGUAUUUCACAGAAUGCUGAGUGUGAGGUUCCAGAGGUUCCAUCCACUUCCCCACCCAAGGAGGACCUGACAAGCACACUGGCCCCUGCUCCCCAGGAGUCCCAGUCCCGUAAACGCCCUCUCAUAGUCAGGGUUGUUGCAUCCCCACACCUACCAGUAAAGCACCACAGGCUAGUAUGAGCGGUAGCUCCGGGUUGUAGUGAACUAACACCUGGCUACUAAGUAGAUGUGUCUUAGGCUUUUCUGGGACCAUUCCCAUUGUACAACUUCCUGCAGUAGAGCGCUCAUAGGCUUAACUAUGGCAGACAUAUUUGGAAUGAAUUUGCCAUAAUAGUUAAGUAAGGAAAGAAAAGACCUGAGCUCAGUGGUGUUUGUAGGAAUGGGAGCCUUCUCAAUAGCUUCAGUUUUCUGUUUCAUGGGGUGUAUCCCCUCUGCAUCUAUCACAUGACCUAGAUAGGCUGUUCUGGAAGAAAGAACAUUUCUCUCUUAACCUUCAGAUUGCAGACUUUGUCUUUUUAGGACUUCAAGAUUUCUCAUGUGCUCUUGUGUCACGCCCUGUGUUAAGUGUAUCAUCAAUAUAACAGAUUACCCCUUCUAUACCUUGUAGGAUCUGAUCCAUAAUUUUCAAAAAAAAAUAUCUGACACACAGGCAACACCAUAAGGAAGCCUGUUGACCUUAACAACCCCUUAUGUGUAUUCAUGGUGAGAUAGUGCUUAGACCGCUCCUCUAACUGUACUUGCUCGUAUGCCUGUGACAAAUCCAGCUUUGUGAACGUCUCAUCCCCGGCCAGCUUUGUGAACAAGUCCUGUGUUUUUGGUAAGGGAUUCUGAUCUACUUCCAUCCACGGAUUGAUAGUUACCUUGUAAUCUCCACAUAUUCUUACAGUAUUGUCUGUUUUCAGGAUACACACAAUUGGAGCAGCCCAUUCACUGUAGUUAACUGGAGUGAGGACCCUUUCUGACUCCAACGUAACUAGCUGUUUUUUAAUAUUUCUCUAAGUGCAUACGGCACUGGGCGAGGACUGCAGAACUUAUGUACAGCCCUAUUAGUUACAGGUAGCUUGGCUGUGAUACCUUUUAGCAUUCCUAGCUCUGGCUGAAACAGAGAAAUAUUUUUCACACAAACCAUCUACAGCUGUUACUGUGUACACGUGACCAGUCUAGCUUCAACUGACUGAUCCAGUCUCUACCCAGCAGGGCAGGAC
Molecule: long non-coding RNA, 1303 nt
Filed under: Salmo trutta (river trout)
Lineage: Eukaryota; Metazoa; Chordata; Actinopteri; Salmoniformes; Salmonidae
Description: lncRNA (ENSSTUG00000028508.1)
Source: RNAcentral